RNAcentral lists this transfer RNA (73 nucleotides) under Saprospiraceae bacterium. RNAcentral's name for it is "tRNA-Lys". It matches the Rfam family "tRNA". Rfam says of the family: Transfer RNA (tRNA) molecules are approximately 80 nucleotides in length. Their secondary structure includes four short double-helical elements and three loops (D, anti-codon, and T loops). RNAcentral also lists the same sequence under 1 other name. Lineage: Bacteria; Pseudomonadati; Bacteroidota; Saprospiria; Saprospirales; Saprospiraceae. The record is from RNAcentral.
GAUUCCGUAGCUCAGUCGGUAGAGCACUUGACUUUUAAUCAAGUGGUCAUGGGUUCGAGCCCCAUCGGGAUCA